Molecule: ribosomal RNA, 314 nt
Filed under: uncultured bacterium
Lineage: Bacteria
Description: partial 16S ribosomal RNA
Rfam family: Bacterial small subunit ribosomal RNA
Source: RNAcentral
UUAUAAGAGACAGCAGCAGCCACGGUAAUACGGAGGGUGCAAGCGUUAAUCGGAAUUACUGGGCGUAAAGCGCACGCAGGCGGUCUGACAAGUCAGAUGUGAAAUCCCCGGGCUUAACCUGGGAACUGCAUUUGAAACUGUCAGGCUGGAGUCUUGUAGAGGGGGGUGGAAUUCCAGGUGUAGCGGUGAAAUGCGUAGAGAUCUGGAGGAAUACCGGUGGCGAAGGCGGCCCCCUGGACAAAGACUGACGCUCAGGUGCGAAAGCGUGGGGAGCAAACAGGAUUAGAUACCCGCGUAGUCCCUGUCUCUUAUAC